CGGGCCGGACUACCCACCAGAUCAAGCAAGAUGCGGCUAACAUUACAUGUGGAUGGCAGUCCUGACAUAUUUUGUAAACAAUAGCCAAACAAAAGAAAAACAAGGGGUCAAGUGUUUGACCAUCCAUUUUAUACUACUCGGAGGCGCAACCAAGUGAGUUGGAACUUUUUUCACUACAACCUUAUCAGUUAGGGGUUGACAGCAUAUC
This 208-nucleotide long non-coding RNA is filed under the name Mytilus galloprovincialis (Mediterranean mussel). Lineage: Eukaryota; Metazoa; Mollusca; Bivalvia; Mytilida; Mytilidae. The record is from RNAcentral.